CAAGCAGCCAUCAUCAUGAAUCAAGUCGACAAUAUACUGGCAAAUCCUUUUCAUAUGAAGAAAAAUGAUAGAUAAAACGAAUCGGUGCUCAUCGGCCAUAAGCAUUGCACAAGUUGGAUAUCGCAAAUUCAACAAUGAGUGGUUUGAAAGGAAUCAGUGGCUAACUGCAAGCAUUGCAAAGCAAUCACUGGACUGCUAUUCAGUGGAGAGGGUGUGUGGUCCAAGUCUGGGCUUAAAGAACACCCUCUGUGUUUUGUUAGACACGUAACUCUAUUUACACAAUAUAGCAUGGGGGUGUAAAGCCAUAACACAUACGUUUUUCCAGCAGCAGACUAUGAUCGAUAACUUCAAAAUCCGCACUGAAGUCUAACAAAGCAGCCCCCACAAUCUUUUUAUCAUCAAUUUCUCAUUGGGAGUGGAGACUGCGUUGCACGAGGAUGCUGUCUUCGGCUUCCAUGGCUCACGACAUGCGACCAUCAUUGAUUGCCAUGCUCCUCUUGUUGUGCUCCUUCGACUCCGCUAUCCGAUGGGGGAGGAGAGGCAGAAGAUGGCUCCCCUGGCAACACCGGUCAGUCGGAUAACGACAAACGACAAGACAUAGAUGCAUCCAACAUGCGCGAACGCCGUCCACCCAACGGCGUAGAAAAGAAACUGGACAUGUUUGGAGUUGAAGAUUGAGGCCAGGUUUAGUAUCCUAAAGUUCACUCCUUAACAGUACUGGAUGAAAACACAGCAAGAAAACACUUGCUGGAAGAGUGUGGGACUGCUGUACCAAUUGUCCACAUUCAAAGUGUGUCCCUUGCCGAGAUGAGGAGCCAGCAUGGAGCCAGCAUGGAACCAGACACCCCAAGCCCCUCAUAAUGUUGGAUGUCAAUGGUGGAUCCUGUGUAAACUAUAAUGUCCUGGACAAAUCCUGUCUUCACGUCGCACAUAACAAAGCACUUGACCACAAACCUUUGCCUUUUGGGUGGAACGCCAGCCUACCCUUCCGUAACAUCAGGGACUUAUCAAUGCAUAGGUCCUUGUAUGGCACAAAGACCCUACCAAAUGCUAAUGUCAAGCUGCUCCAAGGCAUAGCGGUUGGUCUCCUCUAGUAUGUCUCCCACCAGCUCCUCUGUCAGAAACAGCAUGAAGCACUCUGCCUCAGAGGGAAAUGGCAAGGGGCUUUGCAAUCCAGACUGGGACUCAUUAAAGCAAGCAGCAGGGCCAGGAAAUGGCUGGCAGCCUUCCAGCUACCACAGACCUCCUGUACAUUAUCCACUGUCAGUCUGCCUCCUUCAACACCAGCAUCUUCAAAGGGACCUCGGGCUUCGUCAGGGGACAAGGGGUCAUCAGAUUCAGGGUUCUCAAUGGCUAGAAGGUUGGGGGGCAGCUCCUCAUUGUCACUGUCAGAAUCUGAUUCCUGACUUUGUCAGAAUUGUACAAAAUCUUUCCGCAUUUGUGAGUUGUCUCCUUUUGAAAGACAUUGCUAAUGCUACAGCUUAGCUCACUAGCUACAUACAGAAAGAACAACACUGAAUCGCUCAGAGUGGGAGUGAGAGGUUACGUGAUUGACUGCCGGCACGUGCCAAUUGUAUCGAUACAUCAUUAUCAGAAAAUGUUUUGUGUGGUAAUUAUUUAUUUAUAUACUGUUUUAUUCACGUUUUCAAGUACUGGUGACAAAUCAUGCAUUCCGAUUCUUGCAUAGAUUGUAAUGGACACAUUAUGUGUGUAAAAUACUUUUAUGAAGGUUGUACUGAUUAUGAUGAGCUAAGCUAAUUCCAGCUAUGUGUGGAGCCAUGUUUGUUGAAAUACAACGCAUUCUGGGUUUCACGUAAACGUCUGUCGGACCAAGGAUUUUAUAACAAAAUGAGGUGAGGGAGGGUUCACUUUUUGAGUAAACUUCCAGAAGUGAAUGAUGGGAUGUGAACGAUGGUAGACGACACACUGUUGCAGGAAUUAAAUUCCUUUAUGUUUUAUUUAACCAAUUCAAUUAAACACUGCCCACUCCUAAGAAUUUGUAAGACCCUUAUUUGCAUAAAAUGGUCAGAGACCAGUCUCAAAAUCAAUCAGUAGCGUUUAUUCUCGAGAGUACUGAACACGAUACAAUUUACCACAGGUUAUAAACUGAAAAUGACGUCAUUAGUUUUCGAACUGUCCCGUCUCUUCUCCACUCUUGUACAAUGGCAGUAUAGUUCUCAAGCCUUCCCGCAUCGUCCCACACCAAUUUAGAUCAUUUAUGACUGAGCCAAGGUCUUCCUGUGUAGAUAAGCAUUCUAGCCAGUCUGACGAUACGUUCAUUCAUUUCUACCACGGAACAGACAGUCAUUGUUCUAAUUCUUGAUUAUAAUUACACACAUUAUAUUCAGUACUAGGAUUAAAAGAAAAU
Molecule: long non-coding RNA, 2368 nt
Organism: Oncorhynchus mykiss (rainbow trout)
Lineage: Eukaryota; Metazoa; Chordata; Actinopteri; Salmoniformes; Salmonidae
Source: RefSeq, a predicted model, not a curated record